This is a long non-coding RNA of Panicum virgatum (switchgrass), 2291 nucleotides long. RefSeq lists it as uncharacterized. The record is from RefSeq and is a predicted model, not a curated record. Lineage: Eukaryota; Viridiplantae; Streptophyta; Magnoliopsida; Poales; Poaceae. The transcript has 6 exons.
UCCCACCCACUCCCAAUCCCAUCCCCACCCUUUCCUUCUCCCAUGCACCCACUCGCCGCCGCCCCCGUCCGACCACCGCCCGGCGCCGGCGCGCCCUUGCCGCAUCCCCCCGCGGCACUGCCGCUCCCAGUUCCGCCAUGCGCCGUCCGCUUCCCGUGCCUGCGCCAUCCCCUCUCCUUGCUCGCGUCGUCACCUCGCCGUGGCUGCCUCAACCUCGACGACGUGCCCUAGGCGCCGCUGUUCCCGGGUCCUAUGCAAGCUCUCCGUGAAUCCAGUGCAAGACGGCAGUUCGUCCCCAUGGUGCGCAUCAGCAUCUUCAGGUGUGCAGGCCCUUUCCAAUCCGGAUCCCAUGGCAUGCGGAGGCGCUACAAGCCCAGAUCUGGUGGAACACUGACUUACAUCAUCAUUCGGCAGCUAAUUAAGAUGGUUUGGCGCGGAUGACCCAACCCAGUAAGAAGGGGACACCACCUCCCACACACCAGAGCCUGAGAUUUGUGGAAGACACCGUGACGAGGUAGGUACCCCUCUCUCUUCUCUUUCUUCCUCGUUGUUCUAGUGGAUGAUUAUUGUAGGCAUGGAUGAUAGUAGUGGUUUCUGUUGAGCCAUACAUCAAUUUGAUGCAUUGUUAAUGAAAUUUUCUGGUUGUGCCACAUUAAUAAAAGACUAGUGCUAGAUCUGUGAAACCUUCAUAGUGAUCAACGUUAUGUACUUGAACUAGCUUAUUUGCCUUGCCCAUAUAUGCAACUAUCUUCAUAUGCUCAUUCCGUUUCCCAAAUCAAUCUGGGUUAUAAAAAUUGACUAUUAUGAUUUGAAGGUAUAAAAUUUGUUCUUAUCUAUCUGAACCAUGUACACAGGAAGUGGCCUAUGUAAAUUUUAUGGUUUGCUUUUGAACCGACUGAAAUAAAUGAUCAGAUGUUUUCUCUAAUUACUGUAUUCCGAUCCUGGUUUGAUAAACAUGGUUGGUUAGUUAUCCCUCUUAAUUUUCUAGUCAUCUGUGACUAUCACUCAAAAUUGGCCAGGGCAUUUGCUUGAUGCUGCACUAUAUGUGACAAUAAUACAGCCUACAAAAACUGCAGUUUGUUACAUAUUUACUUUGGUUCAACAAUUUAUUCUUUAAAAACUAAUCCGGGUUCUUAAAACUCAUGAUGCAGAUUUCUCUGGGUCGACCCAGUGACCCACUACCCAAAACAAAAAUUUUAGUGUAAGUACUAUUGGGUCGGCCCACUAAAAUCUAGUGUAAAAUGGUGCACAACACCCUGUCCGAGCUCGAGCAGUGGCACAGGCACUGUCGUCUGCUUCAUCGAUUGCCAUCUCGCCGACCUCGCGCAGCCAUUUCCCCCACCACUCGUUGCCUCCUUUGGUCGUUCUCCCCACCGCACCAUCUCCCCACCGCUGUGGCGUCGCCUCGGCCAGGGCGGAGACCCCCGCGCCGCUUCCGGACUUGUAGUCCCCAUCGUCGUUCUCCUCCAUGUCCUCGGAUGACAAGAGAACUUGAGGCACGUUAUUGAAUAAAACACUUGAAGGAGUCAGAGAACUACAGGUCUGCAGCGCGGCGAGCUCCUAUGGGGUUGCUGCCCUACCGUGGGGAAUCUUGGACAGAAGGAGUCUGCUUGCCUACUGCUGAUGCUACGCUUCUCCUUCGCCACCUUUUCCUACUGCUGGCAAGACUGACUGCUGGUGAGUCCGCCGGGUGGUCGGAGGACGACGGCCGCCGCGUUGCUACUAGCGGUGGUGGGCCAGCAAAGUUUCUCGACAAGGUUCUGGUCCAAGAUGAAGGGCCAGCCCCCCUGUUUGUCUCCAACAACUUCCUCCUCUAGCUGCUUUCGACGAACAGCAACAGGCAACUUGGACAACAACUGCACUGACCAUGGAGUAGCGAUGGCUAUAAGUAUCUUGUGGAGCGGACAUCUUUUGGCCCUGGUCUGUGAGUUGUCGCCCAAGACUGGAAGACACACAUAAGGCACUAGAGACUUCUAGCUUGAGAACAUAAGGAUACAGUAUAAGGUGAAGAGCCAAACUCUGCACAUGAUGUUGUGUAUUUUUUUGGUACAGUUUAUCAAGCAAGUUAUUUGGGGCAUUCAAUUAGGUGGUUCAUGCCCACGAUUUUCUUCAGUUUUGUAUCAAUUGGGUGGUCAAGAUACGUGACAGAGUGAUAUGAUAUGAAAUGGUUGCAAUGGCGCAUACUAUGUAAAUAGUUAAAUACCAUGUAAAUUUGAAUGCUUCGAUUGAGCAAUUCUACAAGGAUUGUAUAAUGGUUUUAUUAUGACAAUUUUACUGGCGGUUGUUCUGUA